AGACGUAAGCCUGGAUUAAAGAUGCAAAAAUAUUUUUGAAUCGGCGAGUUUGGAACACUCGCUUGUUUUCAAUUACAGAUGUUACAUAGCGCAACAGCCUAACCAUUACACUAUCAGCUCAUACACGAUAAUUGGUUUAAAGUAAUAUUUAUACAUUAGACAUAUUAAAAAAAAAACAUUUCAUAAAACUAUAAUGGGGCUCAGUCAAACACGCCGUGACACAAUAAUGUUAAAAAGCAAUACGUCAA
RNAcentral lists this long non-coding RNA (248 nucleotides) under Mytilus galloprovincialis (Mediterranean mussel). Lineage: Eukaryota; Metazoa; Mollusca; Bivalvia; Mytilida; Mytilidae. The record is from RNAcentral.